GACGAACGCUGGCGGCGUGCCUAAUACAUGCAAGUAGAACGCACAGUUUAUACCGUAGCUUGCUACACCAUAGACUGUGAGUUGCGAACGGGUGAGUAACGCGUAGGUAACCUGCCUGGUAGCGGGGGAUAACUAUUGGAAACGCUAGCUAAUACCGCAUAAUAUUGAUUAUUGCAUGAUAAUUAAUUGAAAGGUGCAAUUGCACCACUACCAGAUGGACCUGCGUUGUAUUAGCUAGUAGGUGAGGUAACGGCUCACCUAGGCGACGAUACAUAGCCGACCUGAGAGGGUGAACGGCCACACUGGGACUGAGACACGGCCCAGACUCCUACGGGAGGCAGCAGUAGGGAAUCUUCGGCAAUGGACGAAAGUCUGACCGAGCAACGCCGCGUGAGUGAAGAAGGUUUUCGGAUCGUAAAGCUCUGUUGUAAGAGAAGAACGGGUGUGAGAGUGGAAAGUUCACACUGUGACGGUAUCUUACCAGAAAGGGACGGCUAACUACGUG
This 505-nucleotide ribosomal RNA is filed under the name uncultured bacterium. Its description in RNAcentral is "partial 16S ribosomal RNA". It matches the Rfam family "Bacterial small subunit ribosomal RNA", at positions 28 to 507 of the family's 1533-position model. The record is from RNAcentral.